GGAGUGUAGCUGAGUGGUAAAGUGCCUACCAUUUGUGAAGCUCUGGGUUCAAUCCCCAGCACCACCA
RNAcentral lists this transfer RNA (67 nucleotides) under Dipodomys ordii (Ord's kangaroo rat). It matches the Rfam family "tRNA". Rfam says of the family: Transfer RNA (tRNA) molecules are approximately 80 nucleotides in length. Their secondary structure includes four short double-helical elements and three loops (D, anti-codon, and T loops). Further hydrogen bonds mediate the characteristic L-shaped molecular structure. tRNAs have two regions of fundamental functional importance: the anti-codon, which is responsible for specific mRNA codon recognition, and the 3' end, to which the tRNAs corresponding amino acid is attached (by aminoacyl-tRNA synthetases). tRNAs cope with the degeneracy of the genetic code in two manners: having more than one tRNA (with a specific anti-codon) for a particular amino acid; and 'wobble' base-pairing, i.e. permitting non-standard base-pairing at the 3rd anti-codon position. Lineage: Eukaryota; Metazoa; Chordata; Mammalia; Rodentia; Heteromyidae. The record is from Rfam by way of RNAcentral.